RNAcentral lists this non-coding RNA (148 nucleotides) under Homo sapiens (human). Lineage: Eukaryota; Metazoa; Chordata; Mammalia; Primates; Hominidae. The record is from Rfam by way of RNAcentral.
GCUGGGUGUGGUGGCGCAUGCCUGUAAUCUCAGCUACUCGGGAGGCUGAGACAGGAGAAUCGCUUGAACCCAGGAGGUGGAGGUUGUAGUGAGCCGAGAUCCUGCCACUGUAUUCCAGCCUGGGUGACAGAGCAAGACUCUGUCUCAA